Molecule: ribosomal RNA, 582 nt
Filed under: Mahanteshomyces sp. TH 588
Lineage: Eukaryota; Fungi; Ascomycota; Dothideomycetes; Asterinales; Asterotexaceae
Description: eukaryotic LSU rRNA
Rfam family: Eukaryotic large subunit ribosomal RNA
Source: RNAcentral
UGCUUAUCAAUAAGCGGAGGAAAAGAAACCAACAGGGAUUGCCCCAGUAACGGCGAGUGAAGCGGCAACAGCUCAGAUUUGAAAUCCGGCCCCCCGGGCCCGAGUUGUAACCUGCAGAGGACGCUUCGGGGCGGCCCCCGGCCCAAGUCCCUUGGGACAGGGCGUCGUAGAGGGUGAGGAUCCCGUACACGGCCGGGCGCCCGCCCCGUGCGAAGCUCCUUCGACGAGUCGAGUUGUUUGGGAAUGCAGCUCCAAGCGGGAGGUAUAUCCCUCCCAAGGCUAAAUACCGGCCGGAGACCGAUAGCGCACAAGUAGAGUGAUCGAAAGAUGAAAAGCACUUUGGAAAGAGAGUUAAAAAGUACGUGAAAUUGUUGAAAGGGAAGCGUUUGCGGCCAGACCUGGCGGCGGUGGCUCAGCCGGCCCACCUGGGCCGGCGCACUCCACCGCCGCCUGGCCAGCAUCGGCCCGGGCGGCCGGACAAAGGCCCCGGGAACGUGGCCCCCUCGCGGGGUGUUACAGCCCGGGGCACAAUGCGGCCCGCCCGGGCCGAGGACAGCGUUCGCUAGGAUGCUGCGAAUGCAC